GUCCAGACUCCUACGGGAGGCAGCAGUGGGGGAUAUUGCACAAUGGGGGCAACCCUGAUGCAGCGACGCCGCGUGAGCGAUGGAGUACUUCGGUAUGUAAAGCUCUGUCAGCAGGGAAGAGAAUGACGGUACCUGACCAAGAAGCCCCGGCUAAAUACGUGCCAGCAGCCGCGGUAAUACGUAGGGGGCAAGCGUUAUCCGGAUUUACUGGGUGUAAAGGGAGCGUAGACGGUUGUGCAAGUCUGAAGUGAAAGCCCGCGGCUCAACUGCGGAACGGCUUUGGAAACUGUGUAACUGGAGUGCUGGAGAGGUAAGCGGAAUUCCUGGUGUAGCGGUGAAAUGCGUAGAGAUCAGGAGGAACACCGGCGGCGAAGGCGGCUUACUGGACAGUAACUGACGUUGAGGCUCGAAAGCGUGGGGAGCAAACAGGAUUAGAUACCCGGGUAUA
This 448-nucleotide ribosomal RNA is filed under the name uncultured bacterium. Its description in RNAcentral is "bacterial SSU rRNA". It matches the Rfam family "Bacterial small subunit ribosomal RNA", at positions 329 to 794 of the family's 1533-position model. The record is from RNAcentral.